This is a non-coding RNA of Chiloscyllium plagiosum (whitespotted bambooshark), 189 nucleotides long. Lineage: Eukaryota; Metazoa; Chordata; Chondrichthyes; Orectolobiformes; Hemiscylliidae. The record is from RefSeq and is a predicted model, not a curated record.
UCAGUGUUUACUGUGGGGAAGGACAUGGAAGAUAUAGAAUAUGAGGAAAUAGAUGGUGACAGCUUGAAAAUUGUCUAUAUUACAGAUGAGGAGGUGCUAGAUGUUUUGAUGGGGGGUUGAUUUUCAGACUGGAUGCCUGUGACCAGUGGUGUGCCACAAGGAUCGGUGAUGGGUUCACUACUUUUCGUG